GACUUCAUCGCGAUACACUCCCCUAAUGAGGAUCUGUCAUACAGUCGUAAUGAGAACUGCAGCUCUUGCCUUAUUCGUCGCUUUGGCGGCUGCUUUGUUGAAGACUGGAGAUUCGGUGACUUGUGGAAGCGCCAUUUGUCCGUCUGUCUACGCACCGAUGUGUGCUCAGACUGCUGAUUCCACAUGGACGCUGUUUGAGAACGAGUGUCAGCUGAACAGCUGCGGUGGUGAGGCGCAAUUUCCGGUCACGUGUGAGACAACAGUGACGUCAGUUGCAGACUGUUUUUGCUGAUGAUGUCACGAGAUCCGGGUGCGGAUACACUUUCAUUCGUGAAUGUGCUAGUAAAGCAAAAUUACACAAA
Molecule: long non-coding RNA, 362 nt
Organism: Liolophura sinensis
Lineage: Eukaryota; Metazoa; Mollusca; Polyplacophora; Chitonida; Chitonidae
Exons: 3
Source: RefSeq, a predicted model, not a curated record